This 500-nucleotide ribosomal RNA is filed under the name uncultured bacterium. Its description in RNAcentral is "bacterial SSU rRNA". It matches the Rfam family "Bacterial small subunit ribosomal RNA", at positions 28 to 573 of the family's 1533-position model. The record is from RNAcentral.
AACGAACGCUGGCGGCAUGCCUAACACAUGCAAGUCGAACGCCCUGGUUCGCCAGGGAGUGGCGCACGGGUGAGUAACGCGUGGGAACCUGCCCGGCAGUACGGGACAACCGCGGGAAACUGCGGCUGAUACCGUAUACGGCCUGAGGGCGAAAGAAUUUCGCUGUCGGAGGGGCCCGCGCCGGAUUAGGUAGUUGGUGGGGUAACGGCCUACCAAGCCUGCGAUCCGUAGCUGGUCUGAGAGGAUGAUCAGCCACACUGGGACUGAGACACGGCCCAGACUCCUACGGGAGGCAGCAGUGGGGAAUAUUGGACAAUGGGCGCAAGCCUGAUCCAGCAAUGCCGCGUGAGUGAUGAAGGCCUUAGGGUUGUAAAGCUCUUUCGCCCGCGACGAUGAUGACGGUAGCGGGAGAAGAAGCCCCGGCUAACUCCGUGCCAGCAGCCGCGGUAAUACGGAGGGGGCUAGCGUUGUUCGGAAUUACUGGGCGUAAAGGGCGCGCA